Molecule: ribosomal RNA, 440 nt
Filed under: uncultured bacterium
Lineage: Bacteria
Description: partial 16S ribosomal RNA
Rfam family: Bacterial small subunit ribosomal RNA
Source: RNAcentral
CCUACGGGGGGCAGCAGUGGGGGAUAUUGCACAAUGGGGGGAACCCUGAUGCAGCGACGCCGCGUGGGUGAAGGAGCGUUUCGGCGCGUAAAGCCCUAUCGGCAGGGAAGAAGUUGACGGUACCUGGCCAAGAAGCCCCGGCUCACUCCGUGCCAGCAGCCGCGGUAAUACGUAGGGGGCAAGCGGUAUCCGGAUUUACUGGGUGUAAAGGGGGCGCAGACGGCAAUGCAAGCCACGAGUGCAAUCCCGGGGCCCAACCCCGGGACUGCUGUUGGAACUGCCGGGCUGGAGUGCAGGAGGGGCAGGCGGAAUUCCUGGUGUAGCGGUGAAAUGCGGAGAUAUUAGGAGGAACACCGGUGGCGAAGGCGGCCUGCUGGACUGUGACUGACGUUGAGGCCCGAAGGCGUGGGGAGCAAACAGGAUUAGAUACCCGAGUAGUC